AGUGAACGCUGGCGGUAGGCCUAACACAUGCAAGUCGAACGGCAGCACAGUAAGAGCUUGCUCUUACGGGUGGCGAGUGGCGGACGGGUGAGGAAUACAUCGGAAUCUACUUUUUCGUGGGGGAUAACGGAGGGAAACUUACGCUAAUACCGCAUACGACCUACGGGUGAAAGCAGGGGAUCUUCGGACCUUGCGCGAUUGAAUGAGCCGAUGUCGGAUUAGCUAGUUGGCGGGGUAAAGGCCCACCAAGGCGACGAUCCGUAGCUGGUCUGAGAGGAUGAUCGGCCACACUGGAACUGAGACACGGUCCAGACUCCUACGGGAGGCAGCAGUGGGGAAUAUUGGGCAAUGGGCGCAAGCCUGAUCCAGCCAUACCGCGUGGGUGAAGAAGGCCUUCGGGUUGUAAAGCCCUUUUGUUGGGAAAGAAAAGCAGUAGGUUAAUACCCCGCUGUUCUGACGGUACCCAAAGAAUAAGCACCGGCUAACUUCGUG
This 492-nucleotide ribosomal RNA is filed under the name uncultured bacterium. RNAcentral describes it as "partial 16S ribosomal RNA". It matches the Rfam family "Bacterial small subunit ribosomal RNA", at positions 29 to 507 of the family's 1533-position model. The record is from RNAcentral.